RNAcentral lists this ribosomal RNA (1364 nucleotides) under Westiellopsis sp. TLPVC01. Its description in RNAcentral is "bacterial SSU rRNA". It matches the Rfam family "Bacterial small subunit ribosomal RNA", at positions 132 to 1463 of the family's 1533-position model. The record is from RNAcentral. Lineage: Bacteria; Bacillati; Cyanobacteriota; Cyanophyceae; Nostocales; Hapalosiphonaceae.
CCCGGAUGGGUACUUCUGGAACGGUGGCCUAUACCGCGGUAUGCCGAGAGGUGAAAGGUUUACUGCCUGGAGAUGAGCUCGCGUCUGAUUAGCUAGUUGGUGGUGUAAAGGACUGACCAAGGCGACGAUCGGCUCGAUAGCAUGGUCUGAGAUCAGGAUGUAUCAGCCACACUGAGGAUGAACUGAGACACUGGUCUCAGACUCCUACGACUCUACGGAGGCAGCAGUGGGGAAUUUUCCGCAAUGGGCGAAAGCCUGACGGAGCAAUGCCGCGUGAGGGAGGAAGGCUCYUGGGUUGUAAACCUCUUUUCUCCGGGAAUAGACAAGUGAAGGUACCUGAGGAAUCAGCAUCGCUAACUCCGUGCCAGCAGCCGCGGUAAUACGGAGGAUGCAAGCGUUAUCCUGGAAUGAUUGGGCGUAAAGCGUCCGUAGGUGGCUGUGUAGUGUCUAUUGUUAAAGACGUUUGGCUCAACCCACAUAAGGGCGGUAGAAACUACACAGCUAGAGUGCGUUACGGGGUCAGAGGGAAUUCCGUGGUGUAGACGGUGAAAUGCGUAGAUGAUCAGGAAGAACACCGGUGGCGAAGAGCGCUCUGCUAGGCCGCAACUGACACUGAGGGACGAAAGCUAGGGGAGCGAAUGAGAUUAGAUACCCCAGUACUCCUAGCCAUAAACGAUGGAUACUAGGCGUUGAGAGUAUCGACCCUCUCAGUGCCGUAGCUAACGCGUUAAGUCUCCCGCCUGGGGAGUACGCACGCAAGUGUGAAACUCAAAGGAAUUGACGGGGGCCCGCACAAGCGGUGGAGUAUGUGGUAUUAAUUCGAUGCAACGCGAAGCAACCUUACCAGUGGCUUGACAUGUCUGGAACUCUGGGGAAAUCUCGGAGGUGCCUUCGGGAGCCAUGAACACARGUGGCUGCAUGGCUGUUCGUCCAGCUCCGUGUUCGUGGAGAUUGUUGGGUUUAAGUUCCCCGCAACGAACGCCAACCCUCCGUAUCUCUAGUUGGCCAGCAUUUCGGAUGGGCACUCUAAGGAGACUGCCGGUGACAAACCGGAGGAAGGUGGGGAUGACGUCAAGUCACGCAUGCCCCUUACGUCCUGGGCUACACACGUAGCUACAAUGGUACCGGACAAAGGGCAGCGAGACUGCGAAGAUCAAGCAAAUUUCAGAAACCGUGGCUCAGUUCAGAUCGCAGGCUGCAACUCGACCUGCCGUGAAGGAGGAAUCGCUAGUAAUUGCAGGUCAGCAUACUGCAGUGAAUUCGUUCCCGGGCCUUGUACACACCGCCCGUCACACCAUGGAAGCUGGUCACAGCCCGAAGUCAGUUACUCUAUAACUUCCAGAGAAAGAGGCAUCAUCCUUCCU